UUUGCAUAAUUUUUGUCUCAGUUCUUUUGUUGAAACUUUAGGUUUCCUGCAUAUGUCAAACAUUAACGGAGAAGAUGCCGUAUUAGGGUCCCCUGCUGCAACGAGAUUUCUACUAUUGCCAUUGUCAUAAUGAGGCAAAGGUCAGUUCAUCUUCCUUUUUUUUCAAGUUUUUGUUCUGAGACAUUUAUAUUUCUUUCCUGUUCCUCAAGUCUACAAUUUUUGAGAAACAGUCCAUUUCCUUUUAGUAGCAAAUUGCAAUACUUAAGACUUUCAAAUCAUUAUUUUUAAAUCUUAUGUUGUGGCAUUCCAUUUUUUUCUCUUUAUUUGGAACUUAUUUUACUAUCAUGUUUCUCUAUAGGAUGAUAUCAGGAUGGUUCCGAAGCUUAGACAUGACAUUCCCCGUCAUCAAGUUAAACAGGUGAUAUGUUCACUUUGUGGGACCGAACAAGAGUAAGAGAAAUACCUUUAUGUAUGCGAGCAUGGAGGGAUCCAGCCUCCAGGAAUUUGGUAGAGGAGUGGCCGAAAAUUAAAAUAUUAUAUAAUCAUAACUAGGGAAGGACUCGUGCUACGCACGGAAAUAGAUCAACAUAAGAAGCUGAAGAAGAAAACAAAUGUCGGAGAGAUGCAAAUUUUUUUACAACAUCAAAUAUAGCACUUUCACUAAAAUCAUUGCAUGAAGCAAUCAGAAUAUUCCCGCUAGA
Molecule: non-coding RNA, 701 nt
Organism: Arachis ipaensis
Lineage: Eukaryota; Viridiplantae; Streptophyta; Magnoliopsida; Fabales; Fabaceae
Source: RefSeq, a predicted model, not a curated record